This 541-nucleotide long non-coding RNA is filed under the name Olea europaea (common olive). Its description in RNAcentral is "long non-coding RNA (OEUR_LNC005158)". Lineage: Eukaryota; Viridiplantae; Streptophyta; Magnoliopsida; Lamiales; Oleaceae. The record is from RNAcentral.
CAACCACCACCACCUGUACCAACAACCACCAAACCCAAACACUGCUGACACCACCAGCACCAACACUCAACUCAUCACCAGUGACACAACCCCAAACGCUAUUGCCACCUUGCCAUCGACAUCGUCACCACUCAAAUCGUCGAUGUCACCCGGGUCCACAAUCCACAACCACCUCCAACGCACCACCACCACAUCCCCAUCGCCUGCACAGAUCCACAACCCACGAUUACAUAUCCACCGCACCACAACCUGAGAAAAGUAGAGGUGGCACACAAAAAGCACCAAAAUCGCACACCAUACCACAACCCAAACACCACUGCACCUACCAAUUCGAAAAAUCGCUGCCUAACUGUGGAAUGAAGCAGCCGGAGAAGUGGAAUAAAGUAGGAACCAAAGAAAACUGAAGCAGCAAUCGGAGAGUUGAAUCUUUGGGUUUGGGAAAAUAAAUAAGGGUUAGGUUGGUGGGUUAUGGUGGAGAAUCGAGUUUCUGUAACGGCGUUGGUGGCUGUGGAACCUUAAAUCUCUGUUACCUAAUACAAAU